UAUCGAACGUGGAACGGAACGCACGUGUUACUCUUCGCUCCUCUCGAAGAGAGGCGGAUGUUGUUCCAUUAUUCCGAGUCAAAAGCACUGUCAACCGAUACAGUGGAAAGAAAAUGGUAAACGAGCGAUGGAGGUAUGGUGGUAAAAUUACAGUUUCCAGGAAGGUCGAAGAUCUGCGCUAAUUCUACGAUAGAAAGUUCUUGCUUGCGUCAGUUCCGGAUGCUGUAAAAGCAGAAACAUCCACCACGCACACGUACACGUACACACACAUAGAGGGAGCGGUGUUUAUAUAUAACGAGGAUUGUAUCACCGAUCCCUGGGUCAUCCGUAUACGGAGGAAUAUUACUGCCAUUAAUCAACGACAGACCGUCGCGGAGGUGACGACAGUCUGACAGUUCUUUUCUGCUCCACUCGCCUCUGGAUUUUGCCUCGGAUACCUCGCAGGGAUCCAGGGAUGGUGGCUGCACUUUGCAAGGAAUGCCACGUGUUCCACGUGUGAAAGAGGCGAAGGAUUCUCGAAAAAAGAGGAAAAAAAGGAAAAGAAGAAAUCGUAUCGUGGCAUUGUAUCGUGCCACGCUGGAUAUCUCAAAAUGGGAAUAAAACUGUCAUCCUUCUCGAUGGA
Long non-coding RNA from Apis mellifera (honey bee), 622 nucleotides. RefSeq lists it as uncharacterized. The record is from RefSeq and is a predicted model, not a curated record. The transcript has 2 exons. NCBI's taxonomy places the organism in Eukaryota, Metazoa, Arthropoda, Insecta, Hymenoptera, Apidae.